Molecule: ribosomal RNA, 253 nt
Filed under: uncultured bacterium
Lineage: Bacteria
Description: partial 16S ribosomal RNA
Rfam family: Bacterial small subunit ribosomal RNA
Source: RNAcentral
UACGUAGGGGGCAAGCGUUGUCCGGAUUUAUUGGGCGUAAAGAGAGUGUAGGCGGUCAGGUAGGUCGGUUGUGAAAACUGGAGGCUCAACCUUCAGAGGUCGACCGAAACCCCCUGGCUAGAGUCCGGGAGAGGAGAGUGGAAUUCCUGGUGUAGCGGUGAAAUGCGCAGAUAUCAGGAAGAACACCCGUGGCGAAAGCGGCUCUCUGGAACGGCACUGACGCUGAGACGCGAAAGCGUGGGGAGCGAACAGG